Molecule: ribosomal RNA, 492 nt
Filed under: uncultured bacterium
Lineage: Bacteria
Description: partial 16S ribosomal RNA
Rfam family: Bacterial small subunit ribosomal RNA
Source: RNAcentral
AGUGAACGCUGGCGGUAGGCCUAACACAUGCAAGUCGAACGGCCGCACAGUAAGAUCUUGCUCUUACGGGUGGCGAGUGGCGGACGGGUGAGGAAUACAUCGGCAUCUACUUUUUCUUGGGUGACAUCGUAGGGAAACUUACGCUAAUACAGCAUACGACCUACGGGUGAAUGCAGGGGAUCUUCGGACUUUGCGCGAUUGAAUGAGCCGAUGUCGGAUUAGCUAGUUGGCGGGGUAAAGGCCCACCAAGGCGACGAUCCGUAGCUGGUCUGAGAGGAUGAUCAGCCACACUGGAACUGAGACACGGUCCAGACUCCUACGGGAGGCAGCAGUGGGGAAUAUUGGACAAUGGGCGCAAGCCUGAUCCAGCCAUACCGCGUGGGUGAAGAAGGCCUUCGGGUUGUAAAGCCCUUUUGUUGGGAAAGAAAAGCAGCAGGUUAAUACCCCGCUGUUCUGACGGUACCCAAAGAAUAAGCACCGGCUAACUUCGUG